GGCAGCUUUGCCAAAGUCCCGGAGUUGGCGAGUUGGGCGCUAACUGGUGCGGGCGGAGCGGGGGUGCGCGUGGGCGCGCCGGGAGCGCCGGGACGCGCGGGGUCCCCCCACCCGCUCCCAGAGCCUGUCGGCGAGCUCUGCUCCGGGUCCCCCCGAGAGUUUGCGCGCGGCCCGCGGAGGGGGGAGGGCGGCUCGGGGGUGCGGCCGCCCACCCCCUCGGCUCCGCUCGGAGGACCAACUUUGCUCCGGGGACUCGGUCGUCCCAGGCGGGCAAUGGAGCCGCAGCCGCGCUCCCCGCGCACGGCUCUGCGGCGGGGCCCCAGCUGCCUUCCCCUCGGGUCCGGCCGCUGGCGGUGGCUGUGCACGCUCUCUCUCAACUGUCGCGUGCUGCGCGCUCCUGCCCCCCGUCCGCUGUCCGUGCCGGGCGGCCGGGGGGACCCGAGCCUCUCUGCAGGGGCCCUCCUCGCGCCAGCCCAGUCUCCGUGCAGUUGGAACGGCCUCCAGGCCGGGGCUGACCCUUGGUCUAGGAUUUGCCUGACCUGGAUCGAAAGGAUGAGCCGAGCUACUCAGAUCCUGUCUCAGAAAUUGGAGUCAAGUGCCACAGAGGGGAAAAGGCAGCUGCUGGUGCUCCCUCAAAGUGCAAAUUCAGUUGGCAUGGUACUCAGCAUGUAAUAACUGCUCAACCAGCACUUGUUGAAGAAUGGAUGGAUGCCCUAAAUUAGAAGACAGUGGAAGGAGGAAGACAGCUUCUUUGUGUGACACUCUUCACUCUUCAUAUCAAACAAGGGUUUGCUUGAUUCUUCUGUUUAUUUAUUUUAUGCCGUUUCUCUGUUCAUAGCCACCACUUAGUUAUCUCUUAUGUGCCAAGCCAUACAUUGAGUGACUGAUAUAUAUUAUCUUAUCAACACUCAUGAUGACACCUAGAAGUAGGCCAUUGUGACCAUGAUACAGAUGAGGAAACUGAGCCUCAAGAAUUUCAUUAAUUUGUCUAAAGUCAUUACACCUUGUAAUCACUUUCAUCUUAACAUUAAGUGAACUGCUCCUGCCUAUAGCAGAACACUUCACCAUGUCUAUGCAUUCUCCUAGGUUCUUUCUGUGUAUCACCCAUUUAUUCAUUUUAGUCAUUCAUCCUACAGAUAUUAAGAACCUACCACAUACCAGGCACUAUGGCAAGUGCUAGAGAUUCCAUGGUAGGCAAACAGAUCCACAGUCUCACAGCGUUCACGGUCUAAUGGCAGAACAGGCAUUAUAAGCAUGAACACACAAAUAACAAUUGUAUUAGUUGGGAGGAAGGAGAAAGGUCCUCAUGGCUGUCAGAUGCAGAUCUGGUAUUAGUACCUAAUGCUACUGAAAUCCAAGUCCAAGAAAUUCCAAGAUUCCUUCUGCCAAUUUACACCAGUGUGACUCCCUUAGGCUGAUCUAAUGGGACAUUGGGUUUGCCAAGGGCCCUCUGGGCAGUGCUUGUCCCUGUAGGAAGUCUGCCACUUACUGUGGGAGACCAGAAUGCACAACACAACAAAGGCUCAAACACACACACACACACACACACACACACACACACACACACUCAGCUGACCCAUACCUCCAGCUGCAGAGAGAGCUAAGAGAGGAAGCAAUGCAGUGCAUUUUGCAAAUGCCUUCUUUCAGCUGUGGGACUCAAGUUUGAAGAGCAUUUUUCUAUUCACUGUGUUGCACUUUGCUUUUAUCAUGUAAAUGAUCCUGGAGAUCACUCCAUUUAAAUACAUGGAGAUUGUCCCGUUCUGUUUUCCACUUGCAAAGUACUGCAUGGUGUGAAUAAACCAGGGUUCAAACUGUCUCCUAAUAGGUGG
This is a long non-coding RNA of Vulpes vulpes (red fox), 1829 nucleotides long. NCBI's taxonomy places the organism in Eukaryota, Metazoa, Chordata, Mammalia, Carnivora, Canidae. The record is from Ensembl.